GGUUCCGUAGCUUAAUUGGAUAGAGCACUGCGUUACGGCCGCAGAGGUUGCAGGUUCGAGUCCUGCCGGGAUCACUA
Molecule: transfer RNA, 77 nt
Filed under: Carboxylicivirga sp. M1479
Lineage: Bacteria; Pseudomonadati; Bacteroidota; Bacteroidia; Marinilabiliales; Marinilabiliaceae
Description: tRNA-Arg
Rfam family: tRNA
About the family: Transfer RNA (tRNA) molecules are approximately 80 nucleotides in length. Their secondary structure includes four short double-helical elements and three loops (D, anti-codon, and T loops). Further hydrogen bonds mediate the characteristic L-shaped molecular structure. tRNAs have two regions of fundamental functional importance: the anti-codon, which is responsible for specific mRNA codon recognition, and the 3' end, to which the tRNAs corresponding amino acid is attached (by aminoacyl-tRNA synthetases). tRNAs cope with the degeneracy of the genetic code in two manners: having more than one tRNA (with a specific anti-codon) for a particular amino acid; and 'wobble' base-pairing, i.e. permitting non-standard base-pairing at the 3rd anti-codon position.
Source: RNAcentral